This 408-nucleotide ribosomal RNA is filed under the name uncultured bacterium. Its description in RNAcentral is "partial 16S ribosomal RNA". It matches the Rfam family "Bacterial small subunit ribosomal RNA", at positions 28 to 526 of the family's 1533-position model. The record is from RNAcentral.
GACGAACGCUGGCGGCGUGCUUAACACAUGCAAGUCGAACGAAGUGGCGAACGGGUGAGUAACGCGUAAUCAACCUGCCCUUCAGAGGGGGACAACAGUUGGAAACGACUGCUAAUACCGCAUACUGAAGGAGGGGAUUGAGUAUGCUUAGCUAGUUGGCGGGGUAACGGCCCACCAAGGCGAGGAUCAGUCGCCGGGCGGAGAGGAUGAACGGCCACAUGGGGACUGAGACACGGCCCAGACUCCUACGGGAGGCAGCAGUGGGGAAUCUUCCGCAAUGGACGAAAGUCUGACGGAGCAACGCCGCGUGAGUGAUGACGGCCUUCGGGUCGUAAAGCUCUGUUAAUCGGGACGCGGUACCGGAAUAGAAAGCCACGGCUAACUACGUGCCAGCAGCCGCGGUAAUUC